CUCGGGCUCAAGUGAUUCUUCCACAUCAGCCUCCCAAGUAGCUAGGACUACAAGCCCAUGGUACCACCAUGGUGCCAUGCCGGGCUAGUUUUCUGUUUUUUUUUUGUUUUGUAGAGAUGGGGGUCUCUAUGUUGCUCAGGCUGGUUUCAAACUCCCGGGCUCAAGCAGUCCACUCACCGUGGCUUCCCAAAAGGCUGGGAAUACAGGGAUGAGCCACCAUGCCCAGCCAGUGGAUGCUUCUGACAUGUUAUGUGCAAACAAAGCCAGACCUCUCGGGCCUCAGGUUUGCUUCCUGGGAUGAUCCUAUUCUACUGAACUCACACUGAUCCCUAUAAAGCAAGCAGCAACAUCACGCUUUUGGGAAAGGCCAAUAUGUUUUCCUGUCGAUCAUACCAAUCCCAGGCGCCCUCCUAACAGGAGGGAUCCAGACUAUGGUGUCCAUCACUGAGCAUUCACCCAACAAAGCCACUUAAAAAAACAGCUCAGUAAACUAGAUUCAGAAGUGAUACUUGUUUGUAAGACCUAUCCAC
RNAcentral lists this long non-coding RNA (530 nucleotides) under Homo sapiens (human). RNAcentral's name for it is "HSALNT0268332". The record is from RNAcentral. Lineage: Eukaryota; Metazoa; Chordata; Mammalia; Primates; Hominidae.